Molecule: non-coding RNA, 3172 nt
Organism: Lolium perenne
Lineage: Eukaryota; Viridiplantae; Streptophyta; Magnoliopsida; Poales; Poaceae
Source: RefSeq, a predicted model, not a curated record
UCUUUUCGACAAAAGCAGAAGCUUUAGCUGCUCUUAAGAAGUACAACAACGUGCAACUUGAUGGCAAACCUAUGAAAAUUGAGGUCAUUGGGAUAAACAUUGAGGCACCAUCAUCUGCUAUUUUCUCUUUUGCUUGACCUCCGCUACCUGGAAACUUCAGUUUUCCUCCCAGAUGGUCAGAUGUGGACCUGGGAGGGGUGCUGGCGGCCGAGGAUGGUCUCGGGGCGGAGCUGGGUUCAGUGGUCGUGGCCGAGGGCGUGAUGGUGGCCGAGGGCGUGGUGCUAGCCGUGGGCGAGGGAGGGGAGGGCAUGGCAAUGUGGAGGUUUCUGCUGCAAACCUCGACGCUGACUUGGACAUGUACCACUCGGCUGCGAUGCAAACCAGCAUCGCCGUUUCCUAGGGUUUGGCUCGGCCGCCGCUUCCUUCAACAAUGCCUCCUUAUUGUACGCCGCUCGCUUAUCGCUGCCGAUUCCACCUACGAUGGGUUCGUCCUCCAUCUCGCACGACCGGCGCCUCUACAUCGACCCACGGCGACACACACAUCCUCUAGAUCGAUGUGCGGCGAAGCGAACCUCCGGAGGAGCUCUGACAGCGACGAGCACUUGCGGCCGGAACCCCUGCUCUCCUGUCUCUGCAACUCCAUCCAGAGGGAUUCAUCCUCUCCAGAUAAGGCAAAAUUCUCCAUUGUUUCUCUAUUAUUUAAUUCUUUUUAUUGCAAUAGUAGGAUCGGUAGGAUUCUAUUGGCUUUCAAAGUUGUGCGAACGGACUUUGAUUCUGAAACUGUGAAUCGCGGGGUAUGGAACUAUGGAUGAUCUAGGACGAAUGAAGUAGUAAACGGAUGGAUGUAAUUUGUAUCUUACACACUCUUUGAUUCAAAAGCUCUGAAUGCUGGGUAUAUAUAUUAAAAAAUGUAUUUUUUUGGUGCCUAUUAGGCUACUGGGAUUACCCCCUUAACCAGUGACAGUGAUGAGAUUGUAAAAGGAAUUCACUUGUUUGGUGAAAGGUCUUUGUAAAAGGUAGACUUUGAGUAUAGAGUGCCUAGAAGCCCUCCAUCUUCCUGUAGGUGAAACCUCUUUGUAAAAGGUUAAUGGUGUGUUGAUUACAAAAAUGAAAACUUCGGAUCUUGAUAGGAUUAUGUGAAUGCGAUUAUCUGUGAACUCAAAAGUGAUCUUGUUUAUGUACCAACAUUUGUGGUAUCCAUUAUUUUCUUCUUAGUAGAAAGCAUAGUAUCUAAUUUCAUCAAAAUUUAGUAAAACUGUAAAUACAUGAAAUGUGCAAGGAUUUUGGUACUCAUAAGAGCCUCUAGAAUAACAGCUUGAUAAGAGGAAUUAGAAAUACCUAAUUUCUCAUCUAUAAUAAUCAAAUCAGUUGAAUAACUUAUUUUGUUUCCCACAAUGUUUGCAACUUUAUUCUUCGGAGGAGCUCACCUUCCUGGUCUAGAAACUGUUCUUGUGCAGUUCGCGAUGGUGCUCUGUCCGGUUUGAGGUGAGACUCACGGGCUGGAGUGUUGACGGAAAUUAAAUAUGACCUAAAAUUAAAUAUUAGUGUUUGUGGGCCCCAGCUUGAGCAUAAAAGGUUUUAAAUGUUAAUGAAAUGCUAGGAGUUUUACAGCUCAAAGUUGUUGGUUUCCACAAUUCCACUUAUGUACUUAUCAGAUGAAGUCUGUCGAGUUUUUGCAGGUUUAGAUAAAUGGUUUCCCUCCUCAUGUUCUAAUUGUUCAGUUUGUAGAGAAGUGCAUCUACUGGCUACUUCUUGGAUGUUGUGGAAGACAAUUGGUUAUUAGGUGAGCACGAUGUACCUCAACACCUCCAAACCAACGAGCAAACCAGAAGCGUUGCCAGCUCCUACACGAGGACCAUGAAGUCUGCAAGCCCAUCCCAGGUAUAUUAUUUCAUUUGGUUCAGUGUUCAUUGUAGUCCGACAGAUAAAUUAAAUUGACUUGGGUAUGGUCAGUUACAAAAGGUGAACAGAUUAGCAUGCCACUUGCAGGUGUGUACAGAUUCUUUAUUGUAGAUGCCAAAGUAAUUUGGCAUGAAUAAUUCAAUGAUGUUUCAAAGUAAUUUGAUGUUCAUCGAGUAGACAUAAUUGGUUAGCAUGGUUUCUUUAUUUUUGAUAGUUUCAGAUUAGGAGUAAAUUAGUUCAAAUACAACUCAGGUUCUCCAAUCCUCUACAAAUAGUUUAGCACCAACAAAAUCGGAAAAGCCCACCCUUCAAACUAGCUACAGAUUCCAAUUAAGUUCUAACCACCCAAGUACUUGUGUAAUUUGUAUCAUGAUCACAAACAAAGCGUCAUUGACAUGGGACCUUCCCUUUAUUGUCAGGCUAUAGCUUGAAUGUUAUUAGAAGCUUUGGUGUAUUGCAUCAUUUCAAUAUAGUUCAAUAUGACCUGACACUAGCAUAUCCUUAUGAAGAGCUACAACAUAUGUGUAAUCAAGGUUUUCGAUAUUAAAAGCAGUUGCUUCUUAACAGACAACAUAAGCCAGAGAUCAUUUUGGAACAUCGCGCGCGAUUUGACCAAUCUGAACCAUACCCCUGAUCAGGUGGAACCACCGGCAUCGCCGAAAUCGUCUGCGCCCGGGAGGAGUGAAGAGGCUUGGUGGAGGACGCCUUGACGCUGGCAAAUAAUGGUGCGGCAUUCGUCUCCUUUGGGAUCCUAGAGUUAUAUAUAAAAAUGAACCUGGGAUCGAGUUCUUUGAUUUGUUGGUGCAGAUCAAGGAGUGCAUAAGCUGGCUAGCUACGCUGCAGCAGUAAGGAGACGUCGUAGCAACAACACACAGUAGUGCUCACAAACCCUUUUAUUCACGAUCUGAAUCGACAGGAAUAGUAUAAUUGAAGAAUACUUCUAUUUGAGGUUUGAUGCCCUCAUGGUGCUAUGACUAUAAGAUAUUUGAACAAAAAGAGGUGAAGUUUGAGUUUUUACCAUGCAAGUUAAUUACAGGUUUUUGUUAGCCUUAUCAGUGCUCUUCUUGGGGCCUAUUGCAUUAUGGAUUAUGAGUUCUCUUGACUGAGUAGGUACCAUUGCAUCAAUGCUGAUAAACGGUGGAUGAUCCAAUCUAUUCUUUUUCUCUUCUGUAUUUGCUUAAAUUAUAUUUCCUGUUUUAUGUGUCCUCACAUGAAUACUAUGCACCAAUUAUAAACUAGCCCCCCUUGUGGAAUUACAGGAAGGGGAGGG